Long non-coding RNA from Schistocerca gregaria, 1179 nucleotides. RefSeq lists it as uncharacterized. The transcript is spliced from 2 exons. NCBI's taxonomy places the organism in Eukaryota, Metazoa, Arthropoda, Insecta, Orthoptera, Acrididae. The record is from RefSeq and is a predicted model, not a curated record.
UUAACUGCGACAAAUCACAGUUAGGAAUAGCAGAUACUGAAAAGUAGCAUUCACAGAAAUCAGUGAUAUCGGAAAAUCGCAGUUUAGCCCAACAGUAAAGUGCGUACUAUUGGGAGACACUCACGUUUCAUCAUAAAUAGAAGUUAAUAAUGAACAUAUACUUCGUUAGGUUGGCAACAUACCAAAAUUGAUGGAACACGUAAUGGGAGUGAUCUCCAUACUACUAAUACUAGACUACACUGCGUAAUAGAGUCGCAAUACUUACGCUGUGGAAGCUGUGUACGAACUACGAAGAAAUAGUUGUAUUGAGUGACACAAGAACAAUAGUCCACUACAAAAAAUAGUGAGAAACAUGGUGAACAGUGUGUGAAAGGCGAGAACACAAAGAUGUGAUUAUAUGGCAGUGAUGAAAGUGGUAGUGCGACGUUCAGACCAGAUGCGAGGAAACGCAGAGCAGCAAAUCAUUCAUGGAGCUCAAGGACAGCAUGGCCACAGCAACUGCCAGAACGUGUCAUCACGACACAGCGGGAUGACACCAUGGAGACAGAGCCUGCACCUCCUCUCGUCCUACCGAUGGAGCUGGACCUGCCCAUAAUGCAGCAGCUGAUGCCUUCGACAUCUGGUUUUUGGCCUCUGGUGGUGGAUGCAUACAAUCCUGGUUGUUUUCUGGGGGAUGUUUCCGCCACAGCGAAGGCCGGAUGGUGGGGUACGAUCGGAAGCUUGACAUCUCCUGCAGCUACAGCUUCCGGUCCACUCUAGUUUCAGCUCUCUGCCAGGCCCGGCCGGUGUCGUGCUCCCUACAUGACAGCUGUCCGUCACUUUGGGAGGGGGGAGGGGAUGUUCCAGCGUAACAUGAAGUGCCAGCACAUUGGACUGGAAUGUUAUAGAAGCAGAGAAGGCUGUAAGCCAACGUCAGCCAAUAGUACACCGACUAGGACGACACCAUGACAGGAGCAGCCCCAUAUGAAGAGAUUCUAAGAGCUGCUUCGCCUAGCCAUGAGCAGUAGAUGAUGAGCCAUUGUCCAAACACUUUAGCCGUGAUUUGUAAACUGUACUAUGUGCUUGCAUGGAAAUUGAUUAUUUACAUGUCGCCCUUCACUUGCGACACCACUUUGUAAAUAUGCAAUGUUAAGUAUUGUCAAUUUAACUUAGUGUAAUAAACUUCAUUAAUAAGAUUUA